Sorex fumeus (smoky shrew) is the source of this 106-nucleotide small nuclear RNA. NCBI's taxonomy places the organism in Eukaryota, Metazoa, Chordata, Mammalia, Eulipotyphla, Soricidae. The record is from RefSeq and is a predicted model, not a curated record.
GUGCUCACUUCAGCAGAACAUAUAUUAAAUUGGAACGAUACAAGGAAGAUUAGCAUGAUCCCUGCUCAAGGAUGACAUGCAAAUUCGUGAAGCGUUCCAUAUUUUC